UGUAGACUAUAGCUAUAGCACACCAAAUAAGCGAAAUAUAAGCACAACUAAAACAAUUAUGAUAAUGGUAGUGAUGUAGAACAGCUAAGAGUCUUAUGAAACAAAGAAAACUGAAUUUGGAGAAUUAGAGAAAUUAUGGCUCAAAAAAUGACCGCAAAUUUUUUACUUUAUCAAAGCAAAAUUUAAGCAAACAAAAAUAAAGUACUAUUCUCACAAUAGCAGGAUCUAGAACUCACUUCUAUCAAGAAAGCCUGGUAAUGGUAAAUUUAAGAUUAGAAUUGGAUCAAAACUUCAGAAACAUAAUUGUUGUUAUUUUACAGCACAAUAAUUAAUGAAAAGCCUUACAAGCUUUGGUAUUUAUAGACUCUAAUGUAGUCCUAAACCUUCUAGUGGUUGGACUUCAUAAUAUAUAUAAGAUUUGGAAAAAAUAAAAUCCAUUUUUUAUUUGACUGCCAGACUAAUUAGGUGAUGUAGAGCCAGGGAAACAAAGGGGAAUAAUGGGGUGAG
This 507-nucleotide unclassified non-coding RNA is filed under the name Hevea brasiliensis (rubber tree). The record is from RNAcentral. Lineage: Eukaryota; Viridiplantae; Streptophyta; Magnoliopsida; Malpighiales; Euphorbiaceae.